This 255-nucleotide ribosomal RNA is filed under the name uncultured bacterium. Its description in RNAcentral is "partial 16S ribosomal RNA". It matches the Rfam family "Bacterial small subunit ribosomal RNA", at positions 99 to 354 of the family's 1533-position model. The record is from RNAcentral.
CGGACGGGUGAGUAACGCGUGGAAAACCUGCCGUAUACUGGGGGAUAACACUUAGAAAUAGGUGCUAAUACCGCAUAAGCGCACAGCUUCGCAUGAAGCGGUGUGAAAAACUCUGGUGGUAUACGAUGGUUCCGCGUCUGAUUAGCUAGUUGGUGGGGUAAUGGCCUACCAAGGCAACGAUCAGUAGCCGGCCUGAGAGGGUGAACGGCCACAUUGGGACUGAGAUACGGCCCAGACUCCUACGGGAGGCAGCAG